RNAcentral lists this ribosomal RNA (545 nucleotides) under uncultured bacterium. Its description in RNAcentral is "bacterial SSU rRNA". It matches the Rfam family "Bacterial small subunit ribosomal RNA", at positions 772 to 1319 of the family's 1533-position model. The record is from RNAcentral.
ACCGAAUAGAUACCCCGGUAGUCCACGCCGUAAACGAUGAAUACUAGGUGUAGGGGUUGUCAUGACCUCUGUGCCGCCGCUAAACGCAUUAAGUAUUCCGCCUGGGGAGUACGGUCGCAAGAUUAAAACUCAAAGGAAUUGACGGGGGCCCGCACAAGCAGCGGAGCAUGUGGUUUAGUUCGAAGCAACGCGAAGAACCUUACCUAGACUUGACAUCUCCUGCAUUACCCUUAAUCGGGGAAGUUCCUUCGGGAACAGGAAGACAGGUGGUGCAUGGUUGUCGUCAGCUCGUGUCGUGAGAUGUUGGGUUAAGUCCCGCAACGAGCGCAACCCUUAUUGUUAGUUGCUACCAUUUAGUUGAGCACUCUAGCGAGACUGCCCGGGUUAACCGGGAGGAAGGUGGGGAUGACGUCAAAUCAUCAUGCCCCUUAUGUCUAGGGCUACACACGUGCUACAAUGGCAAGUACAAAGAGAAGCAAGACCGCGAGGUGGAGCAAAACUCAAAAACUUGUCUCAGUUCGGAUUGUAGGCUGAAACUCGCCUAC